Molecule: non-coding RNA, 27 nt
Filed under: Mus musculus (house mouse)
Lineage: Eukaryota; Metazoa; Chordata; Mammalia; Rodentia; Muridae
Source: RNAcentral
ACAUAAACAAAAGCUCUUUGGGGGUUC